GACGAACGCUGGCGGCGUGCUUAACACAUGCAAGUCGAACGGAGCUUAAUGAUGAAGCUUGCGAUUCAUUAAGUUUAGUGGCGGACGGGUGAGUAACGCGUGGGCAACCUACCCAUAAGCGGGGGACAACAGUUGGAAACGGCUGCUAAUACCGCAUACGCUCCUUAAAAACACAUGUUUAAAAGGAGGAAAGAUGGCCUCUGAAAAUGCUAUCACUUAUGGAUGGGCCCGCGUCUGAUUAGCUAGUUGGUGGGGUAGAGGCCUACCAAGGCGACGAUCAGUAGCCGGCCUGAGAGGGUGAACGGCCACACUGGGACUGAGACACGGCCCAGACUCCUACGGGAGGCAGCAGUGGGGAAUAUUGCGCAAGUGGGGGAAACCCUGACGCAGCGACGCCGCGUGAGCGAAGAAGGCCUUAGGGUCGUAAAGCUCUGUUUUAGGGGACGAAUGUCGAGAGGAAUAAUACGUCUCUCGAAUGACGUACCCUAAGAGGAACGCCCCGGAUAACUACGUGACC
This 517-nucleotide ribosomal RNA is filed under the name uncultured bacterium. RNAcentral's name for it is "bacterial SSU rRNA". It matches the Rfam family "Bacterial small subunit ribosomal RNA", at positions 28 to 510 of the family's 1533-position model. The record is from RNAcentral.